UGUAGGACACUCUAUACGGAGUUACAAAAGAAAGUUAUAAAUGAAGCGGUCUGGAAAGGCCCGCCAAAGACGGUAACAGCCCGGUAGUUGAAAUGGCUUUCCCUCCAGAGUGGAUCCUGAGUACGGCGGAACACGUGAAAUUCCGUCGGAAUCCGGGAGGACCAUCUCCCAAGGCUAAAUACUCCCUAGUGACCGAUAGUGAACCAGUACCGUGAGGGAAAGGUGAAAAGCACCCCGGAAGGGGAGUGAAACAGUUCCUGAAACCGUGUGCCUACAAGUAGUUAGAGCCCGUUAAUGGGUGAUAGCGUGCCUUUUGUAGAAUGAACCGGCGAGUUACGAUUUGUUGCAAGGUUAAGCGGAAAAAGCGGAGCCGUAGCGAAAGCGAGUCUGAAUAGGGCGCAUAAGUAACAGGUCGUAGACCCGAAACCAGGUGAUCUACCCAUGUCCAGGAUGAAGGUAAGGUAAUACUUACUGGAGGUCCGAACCCACGCACGUUGAAAAGUGCGGGGAUGAGGUGUGGGUAGCGGAGAAAUUCCAAUCGAACUUGGAGAUAGCUGGUUCUCUCCGAAAUAGCUUUAGGGCUAGCCUCGAGGUAAAGAGUCAUGGAGGUAGAGCACUGUUUGGACUAGGGGCCCUUCUCGGGUUACCGAAUUCAGAUAAACUCCGAAUGCCAUGUACUUAUACUCGGGAGUCAGACUGCGAGUGAUAAGAUCCGUAGUCGAAAGGGAAACAGCCCAGACCACCAGUUAAGGUCCCCAAAUAUAUGUUAAGUGGAAAAGGAUGUGGGGUUGCUUAGACAACCAGGAUGUUGGCUUAGAAGCAGCCACCAUUGAAAGAGUGCGUAAUAGCUCACUGGUCGAGUGACCCCGCGCCGAAAAUGUACCGGGGCUAAACAUAUUACCGAAACUGUGGAUGAACCUCUUUAGAGGUUCGUGGUAGGAGAGCGUUCUAAGGGCGGUGAAGUCAGACCGGAAGGACUGGUGGAGCGCUUAGAAGUGAGAAUGCCGGUAUGAGUAGCGAAAGAAGGGUGAGAAUCCCUUCCACCGAAUAUCUAAGGUUUCCUGAGGAAGGCUCGUCCGCUC
This 1082-nucleotide ribosomal RNA is filed under the name Listeria monocytogenes. RNAcentral's name for it is "partial 23S ribosomal RNA". It matches the Rfam family "Bacterial large subunit ribosomal RNA", at positions 296 to 1375 of the family's 2925-position model. The record is from RNAcentral. Lineage: Bacteria; Bacillati; Bacillota; Bacilli; Caryophanales; Listeriaceae.